Non-coding RNA from Otolemur garnettii (small-eared galago), 131 nucleotides. Lineage: Eukaryota; Metazoa; Chordata; Mammalia; Primates; Galagidae. The record is from Rfam.
GUCUACGGCCAUACUACCCUGAAUGCACCUGUGAAUGCACUCAAUCUGGUCUGAUCUCAGAAGCUAAGCAGGGCCUGGCCUGGUUAGUGCUUGGAUGGGAGACCACCUGGGAAUACCUGGUGCUGUAAGAG